UUCUUAUCUAGAGAGGCGGAGGGACUGGCCCUGCGAAGCCUCGGCAACAGACUUUUAGGAGUACUGUGCCAAUUCCAGUAGCGAAUGCUUGAAGAUAAGAA
RNAcentral lists this non-coding RNA (101 nucleotides) under Heyndrickxia shackletonii. RNAcentral's name for it is "Bacillus shackletonii SAM-I sequence". It matches the Rfam family "SAM riboswitch aptamer (S box leader)". From Rfam's summary of the family: The SAM riboswitch is found upstream of a number of genes which code for proteins involved in methionine or cysteine biosynthesis in Gram-positive bacteria. The record is from Rfam by way of RNAcentral. Lineage: Bacteria; Bacillati; Bacillota; Bacilli; Caryophanales; Bacillaceae.